GAUGAACGCUAGCUACAGGCUUAACACAUGCAAGUCGAGGGGCAGCAUGGUCUUAGCUUGCUAAGGCCGAUGGCGACCGGCGCACGGGUGAGUAACACGUAUCCAACCUGCCGUCUACUCUUGGACAGCCUUCUGAAAGGAAGAUUAAUACAAGAUGGCAUCAUGAGUCCGCAUGUUCACAUGAUUAAAGGUAUUCCGGUAGACGAUGGGGAUGCGUUCCAUUAGAUAGUAGGCGGGGAAACGGCCCACCAAGCCUUCGAUGAUUAGGGGUUCGGAGAGGAAGGUCCCCCACAUUGGAACUGAGACACGGUCCAAACUCCUACGGGAGGCAGCAGUGAGGAAUAUUGGUCAAUGGGCGAGAGCCUGAACCAGCCAAGUAGCGUGAAGGAUGACUGCCCUAUGGGUUGUAAACUUCUUUUAUAAAGGAAUAAAGUCGGGUAUGGAUACCCGUUUGCAUGUACUUUAUGAAUAAGGAUCGGCUAACUCCGUG
Molecule: ribosomal RNA, 490 nt
Filed under: uncultured bacterium
Lineage: Bacteria
Description: partial 16S ribosomal RNA
Rfam family: Bacterial small subunit ribosomal RNA
Source: RNAcentral